Molecule: ribosomal RNA, 497 nt
Filed under: uncultured bacterium
Lineage: Bacteria
Description: partial 16S ribosomal RNA
Rfam family: Bacterial small subunit ribosomal RNA
Source: RNAcentral
GAUGAACGCUGGCGGCGUGCCUAAUACAUGCAAGUCGAGCGAACGGACGAGAAGCUUGCUUCUCUGAUGUUAGCGGCGGACGGGUGAGUAACACGUGGAUAACCUACCUAUAAGACUGGGAUAACUUCGGGAAACCGGAGCUAAUACCGGAUAAUAUUUUGAACCGCAUGGUUCAAAAGUGAAAGACGGUCUUGCUGUCACUUAUAGAUGGAUCCGCGCUGCAUUAGCUAGUUGGUAAGGUAACGGCUUACCAAGGCAACGAUGCAUAGCCGACCUGAGAGGGGGAUCGGCCACACUGGAACUGGGACACGGUCCAGACUCCUCCGGGAGGCGGCGUUAGGGAAUCUUCCGCAAUGGGCGAAAGCCUGACGGGGCAACGCCGCGUGAGUGAUGAAGGUCUUCGGAUCUUAAAACUCUGUUAUUGGGGAAGAACAUAUGUGUAAGUAACUGUGCACAUCUUGACGGUACCUAAUCAGAAAGCCACGGCUAACUACGUG